UCACAAGGAUAGGAUUAAGCCGCGCGC
This 27-nucleotide small RNA is filed under the name Bombyx mori (domestic silkworm). Its description in RNAcentral is "piRNA piR-bmo-2184001". The record is from RNAcentral. Lineage: Eukaryota; Metazoa; Arthropoda; Insecta; Lepidoptera; Bombycidae.